Molecule: long non-coding RNA, 754 nt
Organism: Hemicordylus capensis (graceful crag lizard)
Lineage: Eukaryota; Metazoa; Chordata; Lepidosauria; Squamata; Cordylidae
Exons: 3
Source: RefSeq, a predicted model, not a curated record
CCUGUUCAGCUUCUACCUGCCACACAGCUGUUAAAAGCUCGGAAGUUGCAAUGCUCAGCAGUCCUCCUUCUUAGAGAUAAAUCUUACUGAAGGCAGGAAAAACAUGUUCACUUCUGGCAUAGGUUCACUCCUUGCUGCUGCUGCUGUUGUUGUUUGAGGUGACUGCACCUUUUGAAGAGGCAAGAAAACUGAUGAGCCACCUGAAGCCAGACAGAGGAUUGGAGCAGUUUGGCAGGCAACAGAGAAAGCAAGAUGAAUACAUCACCUCUUUCUCCUGCUAGCAAAUGUGAGCAGGAAAUUCAGAGCUGGAUUCUUCUAGCAGUGGAUUCCAAGCCCACAUCUCAUAAGCAGCAUUAAAUUCCCCCUCUUCUUUCCAUAUUUGCAUUUUGUAAAUGGCACUCAGGUAGCUUUUCUGGAGGAGGCUUGAAGGGGAACCUGCCACAUCUGCUAGCUGAUUCAACCUAAAUAAUUCCUGUGCAAUAUUGGCUUGCAGCAAGAGCAUCCACUGGAGAUCCCAGUCUGAGCAGGCUGGUGGCAGAAAUAACUGGUAGCUUUGCAAGACAUCUCCACGGAAGCAGCUCAGAAAGAGACUGGCCAGUGAGGCUUGAUGGCAAAAGGAGGAACGGAGAGUCUUGUACCCCAACUCCCUCCCGCCACCAUGGAUUGCCCAUGGGCUCUACUUUGGUGUAACAUUGUGGAAUAAUCUUCCUGGAAUAGUUAGGAGCAAUAAAAAUAAAACAAUCAUUGAGUGUGA